Molecule: ribosomal RNA, 603 nt
Filed under: Ganoderma sichuanense
Lineage: Eukaryota; Fungi; Basidiomycota; Agaricomycetes; Polyporales; Polyporaceae
Description: eukaryotic LSU rRNA
Rfam family: 5.8S ribosomal RNA (bases 207-360)
Source: RNAcentral
GGGCAAUUGAGCUUAGACAGGGUUGUAGCUGGCCUUCCGAGGCAUGUGCACGCCCUGCUCAUCCACUCUACACCUGUGCACUUACUGUGGGCUUCAGAUUGCGAGGCACGCUCUUUACCGGGCUUGCGGAGCAUAUCUGUGCCUGCGUUUAUCACAAACUCUAUAAAGUAACAGAAUGUGUAUUGCGAUGUAACACAUCUAUAUACAACUUUCAGCAACGGAUCUCUUGGCUCUCGCAUCGAUGAAGAACGCAGCGAAAUGCGAUAAGUAAUGUGAAUUGCAGAAUUCAGUGAAUCAUCGAAUCUUUGAACGCACCUUGCGCUCCUUGGUAUUCCGAGGAGCAUGCCUGUUUGAGUGUCAUGAAAUCUUCAACCUACAAGCUUUUGUGGUUUGUAGGCUUGGACUUGGAGGCUUGUCGGCCGUUAUCGGUCGGCUCCUCUUAAAUGCAUUAGCUUGGUUCCUUGCGGAUCGGCUCUCGGUGUGAUAAUGUCUACGCCGCGACCGUGAAGCGUUUGGCGAGCUUCUAACCGUCUUAUAAGACAGCUUUAUGACCUCUGACCUCAAAUCAGGUAGGACUACCCGCUGAACUUAAGCAUAUCAUAA